CUAUAACUCUUUGAUGCCUCCAAAGUGCUGUGUACAACCCUGAAAUCGUCAGUUAUAUAACAAGAAUGUCACUAACCAUGUUUUCCAAUCAGAUCUUCACCGUUUUUCACAUAGUCCUCCAUCUCUUCCUAUUCAAGAUGAAUGAAACUGAUAAAGGCAACGCUCUCCUGCCAACCUCACCAUAUUUGGAUGCAGCAUCUCAUCCUUCCAUCUCACCUGUCCAGCCAGAAAUGGCAAGUGACACAGUUCAGCGAGAAAAGACAUUUCUCUUCCUCCUGCUGAAAAGAUGCUUGGGCUGUGAGACCAUUCCUGUGGCCAUGAAGGAAACCUCCAAAGAAUCAGAGAACUUGCUGCUAGCAUUGCUGGGUGUCUGAAUCAGUGCCAACAACAACCAACUACGUGUUUUGCAUCUUCUAUGAAAAACAACCCCCUUUACAAUAAAGACAUUGAAUUCAGGCUUUCUAACACAUAACAGCCAAAAGCAUACCUGGCUGAUACAUUUAUAGACUACAUUGCUCUUGAGACUGCCUGAGAGACACCUGUCUGCAGCGCUCAUGUAUACCCAUUACCACUGGUUCCUGUUUUCUUUUCCCAGGGUAUAACGAGUUCCUUGGUGUGCUCAUGUUUCUAUUUUCAGUCUUCCACAUCUCCUUGCAUAAGUCAAAACUUGGGAAUAUCCAGGGAGCCUUUCCUUCCAGCUCUUCCCCAUUCCUUCUUUACGCUCCCAAGUGCUAAUCUCACUUCCAGCUAUUCAUGCUGCAGGCUUUUCAUUUCUUCCCUUCCAAGCAGCCACAUUCUGGG
Molecule: long non-coding RNA, 801 nt
Filed under: Rhinopithecus bieti (black snub-nosed monkey)
Lineage: Eukaryota; Metazoa; Chordata; Mammalia; Primates; Cercopithecidae
Description: lncRNA (ENSRBIG00000046684.1)
Source: RNAcentral